This 73-nucleotide transfer RNA is filed under the name Beutenbergia cavernae DSM 12333. It matches the Rfam family "tRNA". Rfam says of the family: Transfer RNA (tRNA) molecules are approximately 80 nucleotides in length. The record is from Rfam by way of RNAcentral. Lineage: Bacteria; Bacillati; Actinomycetota; Actinomycetes; Micrococcales; Beutenbergiaceae.
GCCCAUGUAGCUCAGUUGGUAGAGCGUUCGACUGAAAAUCGAAAGGUCAGCGGUUCGACCCCGCUCGUGGGCA